RNAcentral lists this ribosomal RNA (1018 nucleotides) under Langerra aff. longicymbium UBC SEM W.Maddison d182. RNAcentral's name for it is "partial 28S ribosomal RNA". It matches the Rfam family "Eukaryotic large subunit ribosomal RNA", at positions 100 to 846 of the family's 3401-position model. Lineage: Eukaryota; Metazoa; Arthropoda; Arachnida; Araneae; Salticidae. The record is from RNAcentral.
GGGAAGAGCCCAGCGCCGAAUCCCCGGYCUCCGGUCGAGGGAAAUGUGGYGUUCAGGAGUGAGCGUGCCGGGCGCGCGGGAUGYGGCAAGUCCCCCUGACCGGGGCCUGUCCAGAGCGGGUGCGAGGCCCAUAGCCGCCGCCCGCGUCCCGGRUGCGAUCUCCUUGGAGUCGGGUUGCUUGGGAGUGCAGCCCCAAUCGGGUGGUAAACUCCACCUAAGGCUAAAUACCGCCGUGAGACCGAUAGCAAACAAGUACCGUGAGGGAAAGUUGCAAAGAACUUUGAAGAGAGAGUUCAAGAGUACGUGAAACUGUUCAGAGGUAAACGGGUGGGCCCUCGAAAUCCUGUGGCGAGAGGAUUCWGWCUGGUGCGGCGGGCUCCGCGKCGGAAGUCGAGCAGGGCUUCCCGCGACCGGGACCGUCCGUCGCGGAGACUCCCGCGGUUCCAGRCGCAUUUGACUCUCGUCCGAAGGACGCUGCAGCCGGUCCGGCAGUGCAAGCGCGACGGCCUGAGGGCCGGGAACAGGCAGGUGGCCGGAGACUCGCCGCGUGCGGGUCGCCGGUUGUUAGCCGUCUCGGCAGUGGCUCGUCGCCGGACCGAGGUGUCGCGAGGCCCUCWGGGGACUCCUCGUCUCCACMCCYGCMGGUAGCGGGACAGACCGCGGUAGAGGCCGCGCGCGAKCKCCUUCGCACUCCCUCGGAGUGGUCGGCGGGACGCGCGGCCCGAKWGCAGCGGCGGGCCCGUUGGGGUCAGGAGGCUGGCAGCGAGUAGGUCGGACACCYACCCGACCCGUCUUGAAACACGGACCAAGGAGUCUAACAUGUGCGCGAGUCAAAGGGUCUUGAACAGGCCCUGGGGCGCAAUGAAAGCGAAAGUCGGUCCASMACCGACCCAGUGGGGAUCCYMCCUCUCUMAAGGAGGAGGCGCACCCGCGACCCGUMMUAUCCGGCUCGCCGGUUGGGCGGAGUCUGAGCGCACACGUUGGGACCCGAAAGAUGGUGAACUAUGCCCGGGCAGGA